UUAAGCUACAAAGAGCGUAGGGUGAAUAGCUAGGCACCAAGAGCCGAAGAAGGACGUGAUAAGCUGCGAAAAGCUUUGGGUAGGAGCAAAUAUCCAUUAAUCCAGAGAUAUCCGAAUGAGGGAACUCACUUAGAGCAAACAAUCUAAGUAUCCAUAUAUGAGUAAAGUAGUAUAUGAGAAGGGAACGUGGGGAACUGAAACAUCUUAGUACCCACAGGAAAAGAAAGAGAAAUCGAUUCCUAGAGUAGUGGCGAGCGAAAUAGGAAGAGCCUAAACCAUGAGUAGUAAUACACAUGGGGUUCGGACCACGAUAUAUUAUCAAUAAUUCUAAUAGAAAUGUUUUGGAAAAGCAUACCAUAGACGGUGAAAGUCCAGUAUAUGAAAGAAAAGUUGAGAUUAGUGGUAUCCAGAGUAGUACGAGACACGAGAAAUCUCGUAUGAAUAAGCGGGGACCAUCCCGUAAGGCUAAAUACUACUUGGUGACCGAUAGUGAACUAGUACCGUGAGGGAAAGGUGAAAAGAACCCCGGGAGGGGAGUGAAAUAGAACAUGAAACCCUAUGUUUACAAGCAGACAAAGCGAUUUAAGGCGCGAUGUCGUACUUUUUGUAGAACGGUCCAGCGAGUUAUUGUAUAUGGCAAGGUUAAGUUCUAAGUAAGGAACGGAGCCGAAGAGAAAUCGAGUCUGAAUAGGGCGAUAUAAGUCAUAUAUAAUAGACCCGAAACCGGGUGACCUAUCCAUGGUCAGGAUGAAGCUAGAGUAAAAUCUAGUGGAGGUCCGAACUGAUUGUCGUUAAAAAGGCACCGGAUGAACUGUGGAUAGCGGAGAAAUUCCAAUCGAACUCGGAGAUAGCUGGUUCUCCUCGAAAUAGCUUUAGGGCUAGCCUUGAGGUAAAAGAAUUAUGGGGGUAGAGCACUGAAUGAGGUAGGGGCCAAACCAGGUUACUGAACUCUAUCAAACUGCGAAUACCAUAAUUAGAAUACUCAGGAGUCAGACUGCGGGAGCUAAGUUCCGUGGUCAAAAGGGAAAGAGCCCAGAUCGUCAAUUAAGGUCCCAAAGAUAUAGCUAAGUGGGAAACGAUGUGAAAUUGCGUAAACAACCAGGAUGUUGGCUUAGAAGCAGCCAUACAUUUAAAGAGUGCGUAAUAGCUCACUGGUCGAGUGAAUUUGCGCGGAAAAUUACCGGGGCUAAGCUAUACACCGAAAUUGCGGGUUAUGAUGUAUCUAAUAAUGUGUAUCAUAAUAAGAAGAUAAAUUUUCUGUUAAAAACAUGAAAUGUUUUUAACCAAAAUGUUCAAAAGGAUAAGGUAUACAAGAAAAGGUGCAUAUUAUUAGAUACAUUGUAGCGGUAGAGGAGCAUUCUGUAGUAGGGUGAAGUAUGAUCGAAAGGACAUAUGGACGAGGCAGAAGAGAGAAUGCUGGAAUAAGUAGCGAGAGCAAGGUGAGAAUCCUUGCCGUCGAAAGUCUAAGGUUUCCUGGGGAAGGUUCGUCCGCCCAGGGUAAGUCGGGACCUAAGGUGAGGCCAAGGAGGCGUAGCCGAUGGAUAGCAGGUAUAAAAUUCCUGCACUACCGAAAUACUUAAAAACGAUAAGGGACGCAGGAGAGGAAGGAAAUCCGGGAAGAGGAAAAACCGGAGCCGAAAGGCAUAGUGAAAAUUUAAAGUAACGAAGUUCCAAGAAUCACACUGACGAGAAAAGCUUAUUGACAUUGUAUUAAGGUACCCGUACCGCAAACCGACACAGGUAGAUGAGGAGAGGAUCCUAAGACGAGCGAGAGAAGUACUGUUAAGGAACUCGGCAAACUAACCCCGUAACUUAGGGAGAAGGGGUACCUAUGUAAAAGUAGGUCGCAGAGAAGAGUCCCAAGCAACUGUUUAACAAAAACACAGGUUUCUGCUAAAUCGAAAGAUGAAGUAUAGGAGCUGACGCCUGCCCAGUGCUGGAAGGUUAAGGGAAAGAGUUAGGGUUAAACCGAAGCUUAGAACUGAAGCCCCAGUGAACGGCGGCCGUAACUAUAACGGUCCUAAGGUAGCGAAAUUCCUUGUCAGGUAAGUUCUGACCCGCACGAAAGGCGUAAUGAUUUGGGCACUGUCUCGACAAUGUCCCCGGCGAAAUUGUAGUACUAGUGAAGAUGCUAGUUACCUGCGACAAGACAGAAAGACCCCAUGGAGCUUUACUGCAG
This 2179-nucleotide ribosomal RNA is filed under the name human metagenome. RNAcentral's name for it is "bacterial LSU rRNA". It matches the Rfam family "Bacterial large subunit ribosomal RNA", at positions 3 to 2109 of the family's 2925-position model. The record is from RNAcentral.